ACACACACGCUACAAUGGUCUGUACAAUGGGUAGCCAAGCCGCGAGGCGGAGCCAAUCCUGAAAAGCCAGGCCUCAGUUCAGAUUGCAGUCUGCAACUCGACUGCAUGAAGCCGGAGUUGCUAGUAACCGCAGGUCAGCAAUACUGGCGGUGAAUUACCGGUUCCCGGGUCUU
RNAcentral lists this ribosomal RNA (173 nucleotides) under uncultured Anaerolineaceae bacterium. RNAcentral's name for it is "partial 16S ribosomal RNA". It matches the Rfam family "Bacterial small subunit ribosomal RNA", at positions 1216 to 1382 of the family's 1533-position model. The record is from RNAcentral. Lineage: Bacteria; Bacillati; Chloroflexota; Anaerolineae; Anaerolineales; Anaerolineaceae.